RNAcentral lists this unclassified non-coding RNA (24 nucleotides) under Mus musculus (house mouse). RNAcentral's name for it is "oocyte_clustered_small_RNA12441". Lineage: Eukaryota; Metazoa; Chordata; Mammalia; Rodentia; Muridae. The record is from RNAcentral.
UGAUGACCCAGUGAUAGGAAGCUU